CCUACGGGCGGCUGCAGUGGGGAAUAUUGGACAAUGGGGGCAACCCUGAUCCAGCCAUGCCGCGUGUGUGAAGAAGGCCCUCGGGUUGUAAAGCACUUUCAGUGAGGAAGAACGCCUGGUGGUUAAUACCCAUCAGGAAAGACAUCACUCACAGAAGAAGUACCGGCUAACUCCGUGCCAGCAGCCGCGGUAAUACGGAGGGUGCGAGCGUUAAUCGGAAUUACUGGGCGUAAAGCGCGCGUAGGUGGCUUGAUAAGCCGGUUGUGAAAGCCCCGGGCUCAACCUGGGAACGGCAUCCGGAACUGUCAAGCUAGAGUGCAGGAGAGGAAGGUAGAAUUCCCGGUGUAGCGGUGAAAUGCGUAGAGAUCGGGAGGAAUACCAGUGGCGAAGGCGGCCUUCUGGACUGACACUGACACUGAGGUGCGAAAGCGUGGGUAGCAAACAGGAUUAGAUACCCUAGUAGUC
Molecule: ribosomal RNA, 465 nt
Filed under: Vreelandella stevensii
Lineage: Bacteria; Pseudomonadati; Pseudomonadota; Gammaproteobacteria; Oceanospirillales; Halomonadaceae
Description: partial 16S ribosomal RNA
Rfam family: Bacterial small subunit ribosomal RNA
Source: RNAcentral